RNAcentral lists this ribosomal RNA (500 nucleotides) under uncultured bacterium. RNAcentral's name for it is "partial 16S ribosomal RNA". It matches the Rfam family "Bacterial small subunit ribosomal RNA", at positions 30 to 523 of the family's 1533-position model. The record is from RNAcentral.
AUUGAACGCUGGCGGCAUGCCUUACACAUGCAAGUCGAACGGCAGCACGGGAGCAAUCCUGGUGGCGAGUGGCGAACGGGUGAGUAAUAUAUCGGAACGUGCCCAGUCGUGGGGGAUAACGCAGCGAAAGCUGUGCUAAUACCGCAUACGAUCCAUGGAUGAAAGCGGGGGAUCGCAAGACCUCGCGCGAUUGGAGCGGCCGAUAUCAGAUUAGCUAGUUGGUGAGGUAAAGGCUCACCAAGGCGACGAUCUGUAGCUGGUCUGAGAGGACGACCAGCCAAACUGGAACUGAGACACGGUCCAGACUCCUACGGGAGGCAGCAGUGGGGAAUUUUGGACAAUGGGCGCAAGCCUGAUCCAGCAAUGCCGCGUGCAGGAUGAAGGCCUUCGGGUUGUAAACUGCUUUUGUACGGAGCGAAAAGGCUUCUCCUAAUACGAGAGGCUCAUGACGGUACCGUAAGAAUAAGCACCGGCUAACUACGUGCCAGCAGCCGCAGUAA